RNAcentral lists this ribosomal RNA (429 nucleotides) under Gemmatimonadota bacterium. Its description in RNAcentral is "Gemmatimonadetes bacterium partial 16S ribosomal RNA". It matches the Rfam family "Bacterial small subunit ribosomal RNA", at positions 355 to 776 of the family's 1533-position model. Lineage: Bacteria; Pseudomonadati; Gemmatimonadota. The record is from RNAcentral.
UAGGGAAUCUUCGGCAAUGGACGAAAGUCUGACCGAGCAACGCCGCGUGAGUGAAGAAGGUUUUCGGAUCGUAAAACUCUGUUGUUAGAGAAGAACAAGGACGUUAGUAACUGAACGUCCCCUGACGGUAUCUAACCAGAAAGCCACGGCUAACUACGUGCCAGCAGCCGCGGUAAUACGUAGGUGGCAAGCGUUGUCCGGAUUUAUUGGGCGUAAAGCGAGCGCAGGCGGUUUCUUAAGUCUGAUGUGAAAGCCCCCGGCUCAACCGGGGAGGGUCAUUUGAAACUGGGAGACUUGAGUGCAGAAGAGGAGAGUGGAAUUCCAUGUGUAGCGGUGAAAUGCGUAGAUAUAUGGACGAACACCAGUGGCGACGUCUGCUCUCUGGUCUGUAACUGACGCUGAGGCUCGAAAGCGUGGGGAGCAAACAGG